AGUUAAUAAGCUAGAAUAGCAUAUAUCUUGAAAAUAUAAUUUAGAAAUUAAUGAUUUUCUAUUAACUU
This 68-nucleotide transfer RNA is filed under the name Vespula flaviceps. RNAcentral's name for it is "tRNA-Ser". The record is from RNAcentral. Lineage: Eukaryota; Metazoa; Arthropoda; Insecta; Hymenoptera; Vespidae.